RNAcentral lists this ribosomal RNA (95 nucleotides) under Peribacillus simplex. The record is from RNAcentral. Lineage: Bacteria; Bacillati; Bacillota; Bacilli; Caryophanales; Bacillaceae. RNAcentral also lists the same sequence under 16 other names.
GUCACACCCGUUCCCAUUCCGAACACGGCAGUUAAGCUCUUCAGCGCCGAUGGUAGUUGGGGGUUUCCCCCUGUGAGAGUAGGACGUCGCCAAGC